GCGGUGAAUGAGUUUUCAUUGACCUGGUCUUCUAAGAGGGACUUUCGGUGAUUAACCGAAGGAAGUUGGGGGCAAUAACAGGUCUGUGAUGCCCUUAGAUGAUCUGGGCCGCACGCGCGCUACACUGAUGCAUUCAACGAGUCUAGAACCUUGCCGAGAGGCCUGGGCAAUAU
This 173-nucleotide ribosomal RNA is filed under the name uncultured diatom. Its description in RNAcentral is "partial 18S ribosomal RNA". It matches the Rfam family "Eukaryotic small subunit ribosomal RNA", at positions 1379 to 1552 of the family's 1831-position model. The record is from RNAcentral. Lineage: Eukaryota; Bacillariophyta.